This 497-nucleotide ribosomal RNA is filed under the name uncultured bacterium. RNAcentral describes it as "partial 16S ribosomal RNA". It matches the Rfam family "Bacterial small subunit ribosomal RNA", at positions 28 to 507 of the family's 1533-position model. The record is from RNAcentral.
GAUGAACGCUGGCGGCGUGCCUAAUACAUGCAAGUCGAGCGAACGGACGAGAAGCUUGCUUCUCUGAUGUUAGCGGCGGACGGGUGAGUAACACGUGGAUAACCUACCUAUAAGACUGGGAUAACUUCGGGAAACCGGAGCUAAUACCGGAUAAUAUUUUGAACCGCAUGGUUCAAAAGUGAAAGACGGUCUUGCUGUCACUUAUAGAUGGAUCCGCGCUGCAUUAGCUAGUUGGUAGGGUAACGGCUUACCAAGGCAACGAUGCAUAGCCGACCUGAGAGGGUGAUCGGCCACACUGGAACUGAGACACGGCCCAGACUCCUACGGGAGGCAGCAGUAGGGAAUCUUCCGCAAUGGGCGAAAGCCUGACGGAGCAACGCCGCGUGAGUGAUGAAGGUCUUCGGAUCGUAAAACUCUGUUAUUAGGGAAGAACAUAUGUGUAAGUAACUGUGCACAUCUUGACGGUACCUAAUCAGAAAGCCACGGCUAACUACGUG